UACAGAGGUCUCAAGCGUUGUUCGGAUUCAUUGGGCGUAAAGGGUGCGUAGGCGGCGCGGUAAGUCGGGUGUGAAAUCUCGGAGCUUAACUCCGAAACUGCAUUCGAUACUGCCGUGCUUGAGGACUGGAGAGGAGACUGGAAUUUACGGUGUAGCGGUGAAAUGCGUAGAUAUCGUAAGGAAGACCAGUGGGGAAGGCGGGUCUCUGGACAGUUCCUGACGCUGAGGCACGAAGGUCAGGGGAGCAAACGGG
RNAcentral lists this ribosomal RNA (253 nucleotides) under uncultured bacterium. Its description in RNAcentral is "partial 16S ribosomal RNA". It matches the Rfam family "Bacterial small subunit ribosomal RNA", at positions 524 to 776 of the family's 1533-position model. The record is from RNAcentral.